AUGAACGCUGGCGGCGUGCCUAAUACCUGCAAGUCGAGCGAACAGACGAGGAGCUUGCUCCUCUGACGUUAGCGGCGGACGGGUGAGUAACACGUGGAUAACCUACCUAUAAGACUGGGAUAACUUCGGGAAACCGGAGCUAAUACCGGAUAAUAUAUUGAACCGCAUGGUUCAAUAGUGAAAGACGGUUUUGCUGUCACUUAUAGAUGGAUCCGCGCCGCAUUAGCUAGUUGGUAAGGUAACGGCUUACCAAGGCAACGAUGCGUAGUCGACCUGAGAGGGGGAUCGGCCACACUGGAACUGAGACACGGUCCAGACUCCUACGGGAGGCAGCAGUAGGGAAUCUUCCGCAAUGGGCGAAAGCCUGACGGAGCAACGCCGCGUGAGUGAUGAAGGUCUUCGGAUCGUAAAACUCUGUUAUUAGGGAAGAACAAAUGUGUAAGUAACUAUGCACGUCUUGACGGUACCUAAUCAGAAAGCCACGGCUAACUACGUG
This 496-nucleotide ribosomal RNA is filed under the name uncultured bacterium. Its description in RNAcentral is "partial 16S ribosomal RNA". It matches the Rfam family "Bacterial small subunit ribosomal RNA", at positions 29 to 507 of the family's 1533-position model. The record is from RNAcentral.